AAGAAGCGAAGCGGUGACGUGGAGCAAACCUCAGAAAGCCAAUCUCAGUUCGGAUUGUAGGCUGCAACUCGCCUACAUGAAGUUGGAAUCGCUAGUAAUCGCGAAUCAGAAUGUCGCGGUGAAUACGUUCCCGGGUCUUGUACACACCGCCCGUCACACCACGAGAGUUUACAACACCCGAAGUCAGUGGCCUAACCGCAAGGAGGGAGCUGCCUAAGGUGGGGUAGAUGAUUGGGGUGAAGUCGUAACAAGGUACC
This 257-nucleotide ribosomal RNA is filed under the name uncultured bacterium. Its description in RNAcentral is "partial 16S ribosomal RNA". It matches the Rfam family "Bacterial small subunit ribosomal RNA", at positions 1244 to 1500 of the family's 1533-position model. The record is from RNAcentral.